AGAAUUUAAUUACAUUUUAUCAGUAAGUUCAACAACGUCAAAUAAUUAGUAAAUUCUACCCAAUGGGAACUCUUUGCUUUUAACUGCCGUACACUUCCGCCCCAGCCAGAAACUGCUCCACACGACCGUUGGUUGAAGUGUGUUACUGCCUGUGGAAUGCAAUUUUAUUCAAGAUCCAGGAUGAGUUUCACCAAAUUACAACUGGAACUGCAUCUGGAAUGAAAGUUCAUGUCCAGGCUGGACGAAUACUCUCCUAGGCUUCUGAACCUUUUCCACUCAAAGGGUGGGGCCAUCGGAUUAAGGUUGUGGACUGUCCUACUGAAGGCUCCUAGCAAUCCUACUGUCAGCUUGACGUGAGACCUUGUCAUCCAGUGUUUGAUGUUGUACUUUGGGGAAUCUGCAGUUCCGCUCUUUACAGAGUAUUGUGAUGCAGAUGAAGACCAUGUGGCACAGAACCUUUCUGGACAAGCAAUGAAGAUCUACAGCAUCAAAACUGAUCCAUCAGAGGAUAAAGAGGACAUUGGUAUUGCGAUAGAUGGAACAAAGGUCCUAGCUAACCUGGGCAACUUUCUAAGGGCUCGUGCCAUGCUCAAGGUUGUGACUUAUGCAUUGACUCUUGUGUACCCCAAGGAGGUCAGGUACACUUUUGAAGCCUUUCAGAAACUCUUCCUCGAGCUGGAUGGGUCAAAGCUUUCCCCAAAAGUACACAACCUCAAGAGCAAGUUACUGGCUACUUGAGGGCACAGAAUUUUGUGCUGCAUGUAAGUCUUCAGGACUUGUUCAGAAAAACAAAUGUUAUUGACAUUGAUUUGAAGGAUAUGAUGUAAUGCUUUUGACAAUGACAAAUGUUUUGAAAAUGCAGAGCUUCUUGAUUUGACUAUGAGGACUUUGCCACCAGCUUAGGAUCUAUGGAUAUCAGUGACAGAAUACAGUCCACUUUCACUUUAAACCACCUCACAGUUCCAAUAUGAAGAUCGACAAAAUUGUUUGACCUUCAUCUGUUUUGUGCAACUCUUAAUUUGUAAGCGCUUGCUGUACAGAUCUGACACUAAGAAGUCAACCUGUGCAAUUGUUCUGCCUCAAAUACAGGGUGUCUUUGUUUGCCUACAGAAAUACUUUAUCACUCUGGUUGUGGGCCUCAAAGUUCUUGCCACUCUUGAAAACCAUUUGAAAACAAAUCUUUUUUUCUGAUGUAGUGUUUUUUGUUCACUGUCACAUGUCUGAGUUUCAGUGUUGCAUUUCGUAAAAAAGUCAGUUUUUCAUACUUAUUGAGGGGCUUGCUUUUGUGACUCUGCUGUGUACACCAGGGAUACAUAAUUGUUGCAUGUUUUUAAUAGAGGAAUUUUGAAUUGGCACAAAUAAAUUAUUCACUUUGUACUUUUAAAUUUUACACAAACAUGGUUUAA
Long non-coding RNA from Archocentrus centrarchus (flier cichlid), 1406 nucleotides. RefSeq lists it as uncharacterized. The record is from RefSeq and is a predicted model, not a curated record. The transcript has 4 exons. Lineage: Eukaryota; Metazoa; Chordata; Actinopteri; Cichliformes; Cichlidae.